CAGCCGCCGCGGUAAUACGAAGGGUGCAAGCGUUAAUCGGAAUUACUGGGCGUAAAGCGUGCGUAGGCGGUGAGUUAAGUCUGCUGUGAAAUCCCCGGGCUCAACCUGGGAAUGGCAGUGGAUACUGGCUCGCUAGAGUGUGUCAGAGGAUGGUGGAAUUCCCGGUGUAGCGGUGAAAUGCGUAGAGAUCGGGAGGAACAUCAGUGGCGAAGGCGGCCAUCUGGACAACACUGACGCUGAGGCACGAAAGCGUGGGGAGCAAACAGGAUUAGAUACCCGCGUAGUCCCUGUCUCUUAUACA
Molecule: ribosomal RNA, 301 nt
Filed under: uncultured bacterium
Lineage: Bacteria
Description: partial 16S ribosomal RNA
Rfam family: Bacterial small subunit ribosomal RNA
Source: RNAcentral